Molecule: long non-coding RNA, 920 nt
Filed under: Oryzias javanicus (javanese ricefish)
Lineage: Eukaryota; Metazoa; Chordata; Actinopteri; Beloniformes; Adrianichthyidae
Description: lncRNA (ENSOJAG00000004288.1)
Source: RNAcentral
CGGCUCCUCUCUAAUAAGCCCAGGAUUGUUCACAAAAACAGGAGGGGGAAAAAAUCUGAUAGAAAUGCGUUUGUAAGGCCGGGCGGCGAGUAUUUGCAUGGCGAUGAAGGCCGGGAGUGUUCUGCAGUGACUGAGAUGCGAGUCUCAGACAAUACAUGCUGUGUUUGUUCUUCCCGGGGAAGUUUGACGAGGAAAGGAGAAGGAGGAGAAGGAGGAGGGUAGGUCUUCAGUGCAGGGAUUACACAUUUGCUAUUGUGGAGACUCUUCCAGUACCAUGGUGUUUUGUUAAACAGAUUGGGCUCCUUCACACCCAGCGGGGAUCUCUCUCGUGACUUGGCGGACGCAGAAUCUCAAACAGUAACUGGCAUGUAUGACAUCCUACCAGGAAGGAUUACACAACUACCAAGAUCAUGGGUUCUUAUGGUGGCAAAUGAAGAAUUAGCCAAAAUGGGGAAAGGACACUAGAAUCUCCUGCCCACUGGCAAAAAUGCACACAAAAAUACCCUGUGGACAAUAAAAAUGGCCACCCCUAGAGUUUUAGCGAUAGUGACGGUCUUCUCCAUGAUUCUCGGCGGCAUCCCGAGUGACAUUAAAGGCUCUCGGGGUUUGGAGACGCAGCAUUUGGCCCAGAAGUCUACUUAUCCUCAGCGUCGCCUGAAAAGAAGCUGGAUAUGGACACAGUUGUUUGUCCCUGAGGAAGAUCCCUCUCUUGGUGUUAUUGGACAGAUCAGGUCCGACUCUGACCGAGGCGAUUUAUCCAUCAAGUACAUAUUGACAGGAGAAGGUGCCGGAGAUGUCUUUGAGAUAGAUGAGUUUUCUGGUGAGAUCAAUAUACGUCCUUCAACUGUUUCUCAAGGUAUCAACAGACAAAGACAUAGUGAGCUUUGAGGAUGAGUUUUCCCUGAAAAAGCUCGAACGUU